CGACGCCGCGUGAGGGUAAGAAGGUCUACGGGUGUAAACCACUUUUCUUAGUGAAGAAGUAAUGACGGUACCUGAGGAAUAAGACUCGGCUAACUACGUGCCAGCAGCCCGCGGUAAUUACGUAGGGWGCCAAGCGUUAUCCGGAUUUAUUGGGCGUAAAGAGGGGUUAGGCGGGUUUUCAAGUCGGAUGKAAAAUCUCCCGGGUUAACUUGGAGGGUGCAUUUGAUACUBGYAGSCUUGAGGGCAGGAGAGGGAGAUGGAAUUCCCGGUGUAGUGGUGGAAUGCGUAGAUAUCGGGAGGAACACCAGUGGCGAAGGCGGCCUCCUGGGCUGUUUCUGACGCUGAGGCCCGAAAGCGUGGGGAGCAAACAGGAUUAGAUACCCUGGUAGUCCACGCCGUAAACGAGUGGACACUAGGUAUUGGG
This 424-nucleotide ribosomal RNA is filed under the name uncultured Chloroflexota bacterium. Its description in RNAcentral is "bacterial SSU rRNA". It matches the Rfam family "Bacterial small subunit ribosomal RNA", at positions 392 to 827 of the family's 1533-position model. The record is from RNAcentral. Lineage: Bacteria; Bacillati; Chloroflexota.